GUCUAUGGCCAUGCCAAUGUGAACAAGCCUGAUGUCUGAUCUCGGAAGCUAAGCAGGGUUGGGUCUGGUUAUUACUUGGAUGGAAGAUCACCUAGGAAGACCAGGUGCUAUAGGCA
Non-coding RNA from Pteropus alecto (black flying fox), 116 nucleotides. The record is from Rfam. Lineage: Eukaryota; Metazoa; Chordata; Mammalia; Chiroptera; Pteropodidae.